Molecule: ribosomal RNA, 575 nt
Filed under: bacterium SL2.37
Lineage: Bacteria
Description: bacterial SSU rRNA
Rfam family: Bacterial small subunit ribosomal RNA
Source: RNAcentral
GCAGUCGAACGAAGUCUUCGGACUUAGUGGCAGACGGGUGAGUAACGCGUGGGAACAUGCCCAUCGGUUCGGAAUAACCAAGGGAAACUUUGGCUAAUACCGGAUACGCCCCUUGGGGGAAAGAUUUAUCGCCGAUGGAUUGGCCCGCGUCUGAUUAGCUUGUUGGUGAGGUAAUGGCUCACCAAGGCGACGAUCAGUAGCUGGUCUGAGAGGAUGAUCAGCCACACUGGGACUGAGACACGGCCCAGACUCCUACGGGAGGCAGCAGUGGGGAAUAUUGGACAAUGGGCGCAAGCCUGAUCCAGCCAUGCCGCGUGAGUGAUGAAGGCCUUAGGGUUGUAAAGCUCUUUUAUCCGGGACGAUAAUGACGGUACCGGAAGAAUAAGCCCCGGCUAACUUCGUGCCAGCAGCCGCGGUAAUACGAAGGGGGCUAGCGUUGCUCGGAAUCACUGGGCGUAAAGGGCGCGUAGGCGGAUAUUUAAGUCGGGGGUGAAAGCCCGGGGCUCAACCCCGGAAUUGCCUCCGAUACUGGGUAUCUCGAGACCGGAAGAGGUAAGUGGGACUGCGAGUGUAGA